This is an RNA transcript of Strigops habroptila (Kakapo), 1790 nucleotides long. RefSeq lists it as uncharacterized. The transcript has 10 exons. NCBI's taxonomy places the organism in Eukaryota, Metazoa, Chordata, Aves, Psittaciformes, Psittacidae. The record is from RefSeq and is a predicted model, not a curated record.
CCUCCUGUGUUGUAAAGAAGGGGGAGAGGAAGGAGUCAGAAGCGUGGUACUAAAGAGCCCCAAGGAGACUAUCAAAUGGCAGAUCUUGGGUGGAGGAAAGCACUCUAGCAUACAGAGAACAUGGAAAAAGCUGAGAAGCUGAGGCCAGCUCAGUCCUUGCCUUUUCUGUGUCGUUCUCCAAGGAGCAAUCCAGAGCACAGAGCAGUUCUGCUGAGAAAAUCUGUGUCCGUCUCUGAACUGGUUGCCAGGGUCUUUGGAGAAAGCUGAAAGUGCACUCCCCACAGCAAGGAGAAGAAGGAAGGUGGAUUCUUCUGCAAAGGUCUCACUCAUCACUGGUUUCAUAUUAGGUACCAGAGCAUCCUGGACUGUGAAAGCAGCAUGUCUAAACAAGAACAUCCCAAGCUCAUGGAGAGAAGACAUCUAUCACAGAUUAAUGUCAGUCCAAUGGGGAAAAGCUAUGCCUUUUCUCAAAGUCAUCCCACUGAUACGUGCUCAAGCAAGUCCAUGGAAGAUCUUCCCAUCCCCAACAUCAGUGCCCCAGCAAGAAAUCUCAAAGGACUCCUGACCAGCUUUGACACACCUAAAGCCACUCCACGGUGUAAGAGUUUACAUUCUGCUUCACUGAACACACCAUCUCCCAGUGGCAUUUUAAGGAAGAGAGAGGCUGAUGCCAGAAUCAUGACAACAAUCCAACCCCUGGGCAUGGAGACCAAACUUCAUAAAGACCCAUCCUUCCCUUCCUCUCUUAAGAGCAUCCAGAGGAAGGCACAAAGGAGUCCUGCCACCAUCAAUUGGAAGGAGUCUACUGCAAAGGAAGGGAAGCUGUCCCACCACAAGCAGGCGAUCAUCUCCUCAGUGCUGGAUACAGAUGAUGACUCAGUCACUGGUAAAAGCUAUGAGAGGACGCGGUCAUUUUUAGACACACCAGACAACACCAGCCACAUACUUCACCAAGGACGAGGGAGGUCCUCUGCACCCUCCGUGAAGGAGCUGUUGGCUCUCUAUCUCUCCCAGACAGCUGCUGCUGCUGCUCACGCCGGCAGCCCUGCACAGCCGAGCACUGUGAAGGACAACUGCAUUCAAUCUGCCCAUAGACAGAAAAAAAGCAAGCUUGCAAAACUAUGCUGCCCUCCAUGGAGUGUUUUACUGCCAAGUCCACUACAAGCAGAUGGCUGGAGCUAAAAGCAGAAGUGGGAUGGAAAGGCUGGAGCACCAGCUAGGAGACCAUCAGGUUCAGCAAGUGGCAAUGGUAGGCAGAGGACCACAGCCCCGGGACUGGUACAACGGGGCCAAAAAGAAGACUGAAAGAGAGAAACCCACAUCCUUCAAUGCACAGUGCAGCUUGCGGCUGGCUGAGCACAGGCAAGAGCUGAACAGGACAUGACGGUGGCUGAGGAGUAGGAGGGAAAACCAUGAGCCACACACAACAGGGUAAGGUGGAAGACUUCAGCUUUGUCGCACACUGAUGGAAAAGGCACCUACUCCCUGUUUGUCAGGACAGGGUCAAAAUGUUUCUGCCACAGUGGAUCUCCUUGGCCAAGUCAUCCCACGACAUGGCCAGAGGUGGUUUUAGGGUAAAAGGAACCUCUGGAGGUUGCUUAGCUCAACCUGCUGUUCAAGGCAUGUCUCUGAAUAAUAGCAAGUCCUCUCAUUCAAGGAUGUGGAUCUGGAGGCAAGUGGCACUUUUGACCAUGUAUGUGAUGCAAGCAUAUGAUACAUGCACAUCACUGGUGCAAAUUUACACAACUCUAAGUAAACUUUACUCCUCUCUUCCUUUACUCCCAAUAGCA